AGAGGGGGGUAGAAUUUCAGGUGUAGCGGUGAAAUGCGUAGAGAUCUGAAGGAAUACCGGUGGCGAAGGCGGCCACCUGGACAAAGACUGACGCUCAGAUGCGAAAGCGUGGGGAGCAAACAGGAUUAGAUACCCUGGUAGUCCACGCCGUAAACAAUCUUUACUUGAAGGUGUGAUCUUUGCACCGUGGCUUUCGUAUCUACGCGAUUAAGUAGACCGCCUGGGGAGUACGGUCGCAAGACAAAAACUCAAAUGAAUUGACGG
This 264-nucleotide ribosomal RNA is filed under the name uncultured bacterium. RNAcentral describes it as "partial 16S ribosomal RNA". It matches the Rfam family "Bacterial small subunit ribosomal RNA", at positions 653 to 916 of the family's 1533-position model. The record is from RNAcentral.